This 916-nucleotide ribosomal RNA is filed under the name uncultured bacterium. RNAcentral's name for it is "bacterial SSU rRNA". It matches the Rfam family "Bacterial small subunit ribosomal RNA", at positions 8 to 917 of the family's 1533-position model. The record is from RNAcentral.
AGAGUUUGAUCCUGGCUCAGAUUGAACGCUGGCGGCAUGCUUUACACAUGCAAGUCGAACGGCAGCACGGGCGCAAGCCUGGUGGCGAGUGGCGAACGGGUGAGUAACGCGUCGGAACGAAACACGCAGAGGGGGAUAACGCCGCGAAAGCGGUGCUAAUACCGCAUAUAACUCUGAGGAGGAAAGCUGGGGACUGGAGACAGCCUGGCGCUGAGUGAUCGGCUGACGUCUGAUUAGCUAGUUGGGGAGGUAAAGGCUUCCCAAGGCGACGAUCAGUAGCGGGUCUGAGAGGAUGGUCCGCCACACUGGGACUGAGAGACGGCCCAGACUCCUACGGGAGGCAGCAGUGGGGAAUUUUGGACAAUGGGCGCAAGCCUGAUCCAGCCAUGCCGCGUGUCUGAAGAAGGCCUUCGGGUUGUAAAGGACUUUUGUCCAGGAGCAAGACUUAGAGAUGAAUAGUUUCUAGGGGUGAGAGUACUGGAAGAAUAAGCACCGGCUAACUACGUGCCAGCAGCCGCGGUAAUACGUAGGGUGCGAGCGUUAAUCGGAAUGACUGGGCGUAAAGAGUGCGUAGGCGGUUACGCGAGCUUGAUGUGAAAUCCCCGGGCUUAACCUGGGAAUGGCAUGGAGGACAGCGUAGCUAGAGUCUGUCAGAGGUGGGUAGAAUUCCCUGUGUAGCAGUGAAAUGCGUAGAGAUGGGGAGGAAUACCGAUGGCGAAGGCAGCCUGCUGGGAUAAGACUGACGCUGAGGCACGAAGGCGUGGGGAGCAAACAGGAUUAGAUACCCUGGUAGUCCACGCGGUAAACGAUGUCAACUAGCUGUUGGGGGUUUGAAUCCUUGGUAGCGAAGCAAACGCGAGAAGUUGACCGCCUGGGGAGUACGGCCGCAAGGCUAAAACUCAAAGGAAUUGACGGG